Molecule: long non-coding RNA, 5343 nt
Filed under: Hordeum vulgare
Lineage: Eukaryota; Viridiplantae; Streptophyta; Magnoliopsida; Poales; Poaceae
Description: long non-coding RNA (HVUL_LNC005063)
Source: RNAcentral
AACGACGGCCCCAACCAGUAGUUAUCCAGCAAAGAUGUUAGUGUGUGAGCACAUCUAUACUAGUAUUUAAAGAGCAAACAUCAAUUCCCCUACACCCACAUGAAUAAGUGUACACGGGAUGACCUCCACCGUCCGAUCUGACCCACUUAUUACCAUCUGACUGUCCACGUUACAUCCACCAGGCUACAAUCAGAUCAACGGUUGAAACUAAAUGUUCUACCGGAAGACUCUGCCCUCUACGACGCUACACGUCCCAACGAGCAAUGCCGCCAGACUCCAAAAGGAAACCUUCACGAUUAACGCCGCCACGAGGCCACGAAGAUGACCUCGCCGGUCUUCUUCGCCAAUGGUUGCCGCAACGUCCUCACCACGGUGGCUCCUCACACCGAUCUGGAGUAGAUCUAGUCUCCACGCCAUCCUCAACCCGGUGGUCGUCGUCUGAUGACACAUCUGGCCACCCCGGCGCGCUGCCGUACCUCCCGUGCAUCACCCCGAUGGCCUGCACCAGGGGCGAGGAGUUAGGUACGUAUCGGCCCUGCAAUUGCACAGGUUAGAUCUUGAAUUUCUUGAAUUUGCAUAUCAUAAUCAGCCAAAAGACAAAGGAAAUUGCUGUGAAAUUUGAUACGUACAGGCAUUAUGAUCUAUACUAAUGUAAUACUACCGUCAGGUCACCAUGUACAUGCAAGUUAUUAGGAUUCUUGCUGAGUUGUUUCUUUUGUUACCUAUACAACAGGGUUGAACAAUUGUUUCGCAACUAGACAAUAUGGCAUUCUCUCAACAUAGUGUUGUACAUACUCCGUUUUGGGACCUAAUGAACAACGACAAUUCAGGUAAAUACAUAUGUCACCAACUCUUAUCUACAUCGACCUUGUGUAUCCUGAGUGUUUCAUCGCCUCGCAGGUCAGAAAACAGAUCCAAAAGAAUUGAAGAGACAAAGGGAAAGGGAGAGGUAUGCACUAAACAGGGAUGCAAUACUUAAAAAAAAAGGAGGCAAGGGAUCUUAAGAAAGUUGCAUGUGUUGUUCUAAAUGGAAAUAGCACUCCAUCUACACAACCCGUGCCCAUAUCGCCCGGUUUUUCCAUUUACUUUGUUCUUUAUAAUACAUUGAUGAAUCAUAAAUAAGUCAUAUUAAUGAUCGAUUCUUAUGGACAGAUUUUCAUACUGCGGAUAGACCCAGUGCACAGUCCGCUCUCACCCAGCUACAGUACACACCAGCUUUCAAAGGUGAUAUCUUUUCUUACCAAACAUAAUAACUUCCUUUAUGUGUCAACAACUGACAUUGUACAUACCAUUGUGAUGCAGGCAUACCUGGUGAUGUGAUAAUGGGUGAUCAGGCUCCACUUCAUGGUCCAAAUUCAUUAAGAACGCCACAAAGUGUCGUUUCUAACAAAGAAAAUGUCAAUAAUGUCGACCCCCGCAUUGAGUACUCCCCACUUACUGGAUUACGACCUCCACUUCAAGCCUACAGAUACAACAUGUCAUAUGGUAAUCAAUUGUUGAGUGCAACAGGCAAAUAUCCUGUAUGAGAAAAAAACCGAAUUGCUUAUAUAUAUUAUAUGUCAUAGCUGAUUUACACUUAUAUCAUAGCGUACAAACACUUGUUUCUCAUGCUAUGUAUUGUAGCUAACUCACACUUUAUUCUACAGAAGAAAAACAAGCACAUAAGAGGGAGAGGAAAAAUGCCCGGUAUGAGCAAACAUAGAGAAGGGAUGUUACAAAGCCUACGUGACAAAGCCUACAUGACUCUACUGAGCAUCUAAAAGUAAGAUCAGGUGGAAGUGUGUUCUUAGAGAAUGCAUGCAUCUCUAAGAUGAUAAAGCUCGGUAACUACCUACCUUCGGAUGACACGGAUGAUGUACCAGUAUGGUUAUUAAAGAGAGCUAAAAAAUAUUUGGAAAAUGGUAUGGUUAGUCUUACUUUACUACAUAUUUCUAUGAAGUAGGGCAAGAACGGCCAAUUCGUCCACAUAGGAGUACAGCUAAAAUAGUCUUAUUCUUCAUAUAUUCAUUCCAAUAAACAUGAACGACGUUCACUGGUACCUAUGUGUUAUAAAUGCCAGAAAACUAUGUGUUCAAGUGCUCGACUUGCUAGGUACAUCAAUGAACCGCCAGGACCUCAAUGAUAUGGUUACUAUUUAGUACUACAGUGAAGUCUUUUCAUAAGAAGGUUUUUCUCUUGCCAAUUUUUUGCUUGUGAUGCUUAUGCUUUUUUCAUUUGUUGGUGCAACAGCUAGAAGGACGGGAGGAUUUAUUCAAAUAUGCAUCGAAGCACAUGGAAUUAAAAUCUGAUAAGUGGACUGGUCUAAAUGUUACAACAUGGAAAAGAGAAGACCAUAUUAAGAACAGACCUCAAACAGAUGGGUACGCCUCGUAACAUAACUCGGUCCAUUUUUGCUUAGCAGGGUACAUUUGUACAAUUCUUUUUUUAUCAAGGUUGUCCAGUCUGACUGUGUGGUUCAGUCAUCGUCAUUUUAUAAUACUAAUAGUAUUUUGUUCAUGUUUUUGUUAUUAAUCAUAUCAAAUUUUCGUAAUCAUCCAGGUCAUCUUGUGGUCUGUGGAUGUUAAAUUACAUGGAGUACUUCACGGAAGAUAAUUUGUCCGACACUCCCAAAUAGGUAUAUCUUGCAUCAUACCAUGAUACUAUUUAUUUCAUGGUGUAUAAUUAUUUGAAAACUAAGUCUUAUUAUUAUUACUUCACUUUAGGUUCAUAUGACAGAUUUUAGAACAAAAUUAGCGGUCAUUUUAGACGACUCGGAAUUGAACGAUGAUGAUAUAAGAAAGCGGAACUUCGAUGAUGAUGAAACCAACACGGAUGCCAUCGACUGUAUGAUUGUGGAAAGACCUCCUAACAAACCAAAAACAUCCAACUCAUCACCACAAGUUGAGCCCAGCUCGCAAUCAUAUGUCCUUUCACCGUCUGUCACUCCAACAAAUAACAACUUAAUAGACGAACUUUGCUUGUUCAUAAGAAUGGUUGAUGAUGUCCCUUUCCUAGAGUAAGACACAUUUUUCAAGUUCAUUUUUGUUUUUAAUAAAUUAUUACUCUUAACUAUAAUUGACAGAACUCCCAUUUCACAGGAGUGAAUGGGUGAGAAGCUCUCAUCCUUAUCUUAUCAGUCUAAAUUUGAGACAAUUAGAAAACAUAUUAAAGAAUGAUGAGUGCAUGGAAGCUGAUUAUUUUAAUAUGGUUGUGUGGAUACUAGCGUGUCACGACGUCCAGCUUGCUAGAGACAUCCCAGUACACUACAUGAAUCUACGGUUUUGUGUAAGUUAUUAUAAUCAUAUAUUACAUUUUGCUUCUUUCAACUAAUGUUUUCUUAUAUUAUUGUAGUCCAUGUCCCACUAUGCACGAGUUUCAAGUCAUCGUGACGACAUGGACAUUGCUAUGUUGGCACGACUAUUUGAUAUCUGGCCUGAUAGCAAUGAGUAUCAUAUCUCAGAAUGUGAUAUGGUAAGAUUUGAAUUUGAAGUCAUUGUUUAUUUGGUCUUAAUGAAUGAUAAUAAUUGUUGUGUGUCUAACUGUAUGCACCAUUGCGAGUUUUAUUGCCUUCUGAUAUUUUUGGGCUAUAUUUAUUGUUCGUCUUGGACCAACAUAAAAAAUUGUCUCUAUUUUGGACCCGCUUUCAAUACCCAUUUUUGAAAAGCAUAUGCUUGAAAGUAUGGUUAAUGAUCUAAACCUUGCUCUCCAAGUUGCAAAGCGUGCCUUCAAGGACAACAUCUUGACAUGGGGAUGCAAAGUUCCCGUUGUUCCCACAAACUCAUACGGGUAAUAAUUUUGUCUCUCUUUUUUACGAAUAGGGUAAUAAUCUUGUCAAUACAUCACAAUCUUAAUUGAUUCAUUCAACUCACAUGUAACAUCUCAUACAUGCAGUCCCCUCUCUAGUUAUUUGGUUUUCAAUUUAAUGCACUCAUGGCACGAUGGAACGUUACAGUUUCCGGUACCCAAGGUAAGUAUUGACACCAUGCUCAUUCCUAUACACGUUACACAUGUUUUUUAAAUAACAAUGUUAUAUAAUACAUAUGUAGGAUGAUUUUGAACUCAGGAAGCGAUUUUUGGUUCAUAUUUUGAACUAUGAAGAGAAUGAAGUUCUAAACCAUAUCCCGGUCUUAGAACGAAACAUUAUAGAUCGCAUCAAAAGAUGGACCUUCCAGAGCGGAUCAUCAUCAAAUAGUGACUACUAGGUUGCAUAUAGUAUAGAAAAUGCUUCACAAUUAGUGGAUAUGAACAACAAAAAUGUUACCACACGCAUGGAAAGAAGCGGAUAGAUAGCAUAUGUGUAUGUGUUUCACAAACGAUAUUCCACAAAUGAAUGGCAAUGUGGUGAAGGCAUGCCUGUUGUGCAUACAAUGACAUAAGCAUCAACGAAGUUCAGAUGUCAAUUGAUGGAGUCACGUGCAUUUCUGAUACAAAAAGUGCAGAUACUAACUUGGUUGUGACCCUGGAACUCUCGGUUACUAAGGCCCUGUUCGGCAAUCCACCAGCUCCUUAAAAACCAAGGAUCUAUGGAGCACCUGUUUGAUCGCUCCAACAUUUUCUACUGCAACUCCGUCCGCUCCGGGAGGGAAACCGAACGGACUGUAAGUUCCAGUAAUAAUGCGACAUUACAACAUGAGAAUACCACUCAAAUCAUGCAACUUCCACAAAAAGCAACAACUCAACAUCAAUUAGAGUUAGCUGAUACUGACAAAUUAAGCCAUUCAGAAUCCAAAUCCACAAAUAAAUAUACCCAAGCAUCAUCGAUACUGAAAAAUUAGAGCUAGCUGAUACUAACAAAUUAGAGCUAGCUGAUACUGAAAAAUCUCUUGUCUAUGUUGUAUGUAAAGCCAGUAUGGAUGCUAGAUCUACCAUCUCAACUAGAUAUCGAAAGAGAGGUGCAAGGAACCACAUCAGGGAUGGAAGCACCGUAGCAAAUCGAAACAAGAAAGAAGGAGAGGGGGAGGGAGGAAAAGGGAGACCUUGCAUGGCGGCACGGCGUUCCGAGAAGAAGAAGCAGGAGGGAGCGCGGCGUCCCGAGCUCCAUGUCCCUUGACAAGGGCGCGAAUUCGCUCCAUCUGGCGCUGUCUAAGCCUGAGGUGUUCGCAUAGACACAGUGGGUCCGGUCCGCUCUGAGAUGCCCACUCCCUCAUCGUGUCCAGCAGCUCGCACUGAGAUCUGCGUUGAGACACGACGGCGGAAGAGUUGGCGGUGAGGCGAACCUGUGGUGGGGAGAGGAUGUGGCGGGGCGACACCAUAAUGGGAAGAGGAGGCGAUGAGCCGAGGCCGUAGGGGGUGAGGGGUGGGGGAGGAGGCACGGGACGACAUCCUGGCUAGAGAAAAGGCGGUGUGCGGAGGCGUGCGCGCAAC